GAAAAGAUUUGGUCAACACUUCAUUGGGAACGGGAGGCGUUGUGUCAAAUAGAGUACCGAUUGAAUCCGAAACGCCAGGAUUUUGAGCAUUGAAAAUAGGUAUAAAGGUGGCCGGCUCGUUUCCAACAUUUAGUUGGAAGUGAACCAGUGCUCUAGGAAUUAAGAACACCUUCCCGGGAGUCAAGACCUUUGAGAAAAAGGUAUUAUUAGUUGUUACUAAACCUACGAGCACCGUUCCUCUGGUAACAAUACCAGCCUCAGUUCCACGAGGAUGUGUAUGAGGCGGGUUUAUUCCGCCGACAUCCAAGUCAAUUCGGAAGAGUGCAACUCCUUGAGUAUUGACCGCCGGAAAGCCAAAAACAUCACCAAAUGUGACUGCACGCUUAAAGACGUCAAAUGUGGUCGGAUCUUUAGAAAAGUCCGUGAAGAAAUCAUCGGAAGUUACGUUCGAAGCAGGUUUGCAGGGGAAACCAUUGAUAGAGAUGGUGGCAUUCAAAUCCGCAAUACAGACGUCUUGUAAAGGGUCAGGGUCACUUGCACGGGAAGGGAAAGGGCGCAUCAGUAAUACUAUCAGGCCGCAUAGCAGCCCAAAGAGUGACAUUGAGGAAGAAGAUAUCAUGGCUGUGGUUAAAAUCUGAAAUUACACAAUUGUUAGCUGCAGGCUUUUUAGUUGUGGGAUUUAAAGGAGAGACUAUGGAUCUAUUUAUACUACUCCGAAUCUCAAAUAGUGAUUAACAUUAAUCUGAAUUUAGUAAAAUACUAAUGCCACUUAGAAUUGGCGAUCGAUGAGGUUAAUCGUUGACUUUCUGAAUUUUGGAUAGCGUGUACAGAUUAUUUAAAGCGGUACGUGAUAUCGCAAGCAAUUGCAACCGGGAAAGAAAUUGAACCAAAACGAAUGUCUCAUUGUUUUGGCUUACUGACAGAGGGACAGCUAAUGUCCAUGGUUAAGUAGUUUAAUUUUCAUUACUUCGAAAAACCAAAAAAAAAAUAAAUUUUAAAGGUAGAAUAGAGUACUUUGUCAGUAUAAUUAUGAACAGGAAUCGUUCAUUGUUGGUUAAAGAGUUUUGAUUUGCUUCAGUAAUGAGAUGUGAAGUAGUCGAUGAAUAUCAGGUAAUUUCAAGGUCAUCAAGAAUUGACGCUAAACCUUCUGGGCGCGUACACUCAAUGACCACGUCCACCAAUUGUCAACAGCAGGGUAGUUUGAUAGCCAAUUCCAUUAAGUGUCAGCAGACUAUCUUAAUACUGAGUUAUCUUAAUUAACUAUGAAAUGGCCAUUGAUGUGGAGAUGGAGCUAUUCAUCCCCCCCAGACGGGUACCCUUUCCUUAAUUCCUUCUGAUUACGUGUAUAUCCUCAUACAAUUUUAAAACACAUUCCAGAAUCAUAACAAUGUUAAUUUAAUGCUUGCGUACGUACUUAACAUAGUCAUUGACGGCAUAACCGGAUGCACCAAUCAUUAAUCAUUUAGUAAUUCAGAAAAGUAACAAACAAACGAUCUUACCGCGAAACAAGUGGAAUUAUUCAGACGUGCAAGCAAUAUUUUGCGGUACAAAAUAAUUUGCGAUCAACUCCAAUUUUCCACCUUCACCAUAACAUCAAUUUCUUGAAGCUAUUCCAAAAUGCAUACAUAUUCGGUAGCACAAACCUUGCUUGUUAAACAUUAAACAGUGGAUGUGUAAUGUAAUCCUAUUGACAACUUAUUGGCCAAGCGUUCGAACUUUGAAAUGUCUUAAUGAUUCUGUUUGCAAGAAUAUAUGUUUGGUUUUUAAAUUCAGUGUCAAGGUUGCAUCCUCUGUAGUUAAUUUUUGAGUUAAUUAAUUUAGAUGAGAAGAAGAUGGAAUCCUUUUUAUUAAAGUAGAAAAACAAGAUGGAGUAAUCAUCAAAACUCAUCUACAGAACUAAUUACGAUAGACACUAAGGGACAUUUUGAAAUUUCUAGUGCUUGUAAUAUAAUUUGCUUCUAUUGAGCUGAUAAAUUUGAGGUAUGCGGUGCAUGCUCAAUAGCCUGAUCGAGUGGUCUUAAAGUAAUUUUAUUUAAUUAGCCACUCGUGUUCAAAUUUUAAGAGAGGUAUGAAUCUAAAAAAUAAAUUUGAGUUUUAAGCAUACCCUUAUCAGUUCCUUUAUUAUUAUUAUUAUUUUAUAAAAAUAGUUAGAUGUUGAGCAGAACUAUUGGUUUUGGAUUGAUACCCCUCCAAAACCCUUUGAUAACCUGUUCUAUUUAUUUACAGAUUUAACCUCCAUUGAAAUUACAUUGAAAGACAAAAAUAUAUAUCUAAUUAAACUUACAUUUAACACGCCACUAUUUUAAAUUUUUGGAAAAUUAAAUAGUUAGAUGUUGAGCAGAACGAUUGGUUUUGGAUUGAUACCCCUCCAAAACCCUUUGAUAACCUCUUCUAUUUAUUUACAGAUUUAACCUCCAUUGAAAUUACAUUGAAAGACAAAAAUAUAUAUCUAAUUAAACUUACAUUUAACACGCCACUAUUUUAAAUUUUUGGAAAAUUAUUUACACCCACAUAUCACAUGUGUUAUAUGCUAUUUAGCAACUUUUAUUUUUUCCUCUCUUGAUCAGUGUAUAUAUAUGUAUGUGUAUAUAAAUUUUUAAACCACCAUAAAAAAAAAUCGAUAGCCCCAUUAUUCUUAUUCCAUAUCAAAUUUAUAAUAGAGGCUAUGGCGUAUAUGUGCAAUCAUCAAUGUAAUUAUGCUAAGAAAGACCAAUGGCAUAUUAAACAAACAGUUUUUUGAAUGAUCUGCUUAUGCGCUGAAAAUGAUUGGAAACUAAAAUUCAUUAAUAGAAAAUUUUAAGUAAAACAUUUUGGCAACAGAAAUUUUUUUUUUCUAAUCUCAUUAAUGACCCAUCUAUUUCCUUUCUACUGUUUAGGGAUGGCAAUGGGGAGGGGAGGUGACCGACAUCCCUAUAAUCAUACCCGAUAUUUUGUAUAUGUCUCCAUCCCUUCCCCGUCUCUGUCAAAAUUGCUUGAAUGAGGGGAUGAGGAUCCCCAAAUCAUAACAGGGGAUCUUGGAGAAUCUUCGAUCCUCAAAUAAUUGAUACGUUUUUAGUUUCCGAGUUCGAUUUAAUCAUAUUAAAAUACGUAACGUAAAUAAAAUUUGGUAAUAUAUCUUACAUUAACAUUAAUCCAUUACAAAAGUCACACUCCAAAAUACAAAUCAUCAAAAUCAUUAUCUUCGUCAAUCUUUAUAAUCCUAUAACAAAAAAAAAAAAAAAAGUUACUUCUAUAUCAAUAAUGAAGUAAAUGAAAAGGAUAUAGGUGUUUAAAUUAAUGAGAUGACGAUGCGACAUGUUACUAGGCUAUAAUGAGAUAAGGAGUAGUUAGCUGCUGGCUGAGGCAUGAAAAUUUUGGAAAGAAUGAGUGAGACCGUGAGAGAGUGGCUCACAAUUUGAUUUUUGAAUUGUGGGCUUGUGGGAUUGUCAAAUUUGUGCUAUGUUUAAUUCUAAAUUAUAGCAAAAUAUUUUAAAUUAUUAACUAAUAAUUAUAUUAUUUGUAUAAAUAUUUUUAUAUUUGUUAUUUACAAGAUCUGAUUAAAAAAUCACAAUGUCAUUUUUUUGUUCUUGAAUUGAAUGAGCUUCCACCUAAACUGCUCAAGAAAAGCCCAAAACCAAUCCCAGGAAACAAUGAAGCUUUAUCGAAUUUUUUAAUUUAAUCUAUUACCAAAUAGAUUCUUUUCUCCCAUUCUAGUUAUAUUCUAUGUGACCAAAUCACUUGCACUAUAAUAUUGCUCAAAUUGAAAUGAAUCGAAAUUGGCACGGAGUUGCUUAAUGAUGCUUAAGCAUGGAGUUGUUUUGAGUGCCUACUUAUUUUCGAUUGGUAUCUAUGUCUUGAUUACUAGCUAAAAUAUGGUUUGGGCCCUGAUAUGUCUUGCAUCCAUUAGUUUGUAAGGGAUUCAAUGCAGACUUUGAUGCGGAUCAAAUGGCUGUUCGUGUACCCUUAUCUUUGGAGGCUCAAGAACCAAAGUUGGUUGGUGUGAGUGGUUCGGCACUCUCACUCCUUAAGAGAGGUCAGGGGUUCAAGCCCCGCUCUCGUAUGGAGUCACCACUUUGGCAAGCACUUUACCCCUUAUGGGCCGACCCGGUGCGAGCGGGGAUUAUUCUGGGUUGUGGUACGGGCUUAAAGGUGCCUCCCACAGUUGGGGCCCACUCAGGACCACCUCGUGGUUCAGACCAAAAAAAAAAUCUUUGGAGGCUCAAGCAUCUGCUCAUUUACUUACAUUUUCUCACGGAAUCAUGCACCCUUUUCCCUUUGGUCCUAGUUAUAACGAAGAAAAGUGCACCUAGUUUGGAAAGUGCACCUAGUUGGGUCCAGCUAUUCUUGAAAUGAAAAUGUUUAGAAUUUUACAAUUUAAAUUUUAUUAUUUAUUAAUUAAUAAUUCUAAAAAAAUUAAAAUUAAAAGGUAAAAUGGGGAAACGGGGAAAUGGGGAGGGGAUGAGAUUCUACCUCAUCCCCGUUCCUUCUCCAAAUAAUAAAUUAGGUAAAAAAAUCAUCUAUGUCCCUUCUUCAAAUAAAAAAUUGGGUAUAAGGUCGUCCUCCUACCCUUCUCAAAUGGGGAAAAUCCUCAGGGCUCUGUCCCCAUGAGAAUUUUUGUCAUCCUUGCUACUGUCUUCUUUUAAAAUGUAAUCUCUUACAUUCUUUCAAAAGCUGCUUCCAAAUGAAAGCUGCUGCCGAAUAAGGAAAAAAAAUUUUAAAAAUUUAUCAAACACUAUUUGCUAUUCUUAUAGUGUUUUGACCACAGCAUGUGCCUGUCAAAGGUUCUGUUUGCUAUUGCUAUUGUUGUAAAGUAAAGGCUCCAGUUAUGAGAUAAAAAAUUGACAAUAUAUGAUAAAUAUGACUUUUUAAUAAUUAUCCUGAGAAAAGUAAAAAAACAUAUUAAAAAUUUUUCAUCAAAUACAUUGAGGUGAAAUCACAUUAACUUUCAAACCAUAAAUAUAAAUCUUUACCAAACAUCAAAAGCCACAGCUGCCCAACAAUGGUUCCAAACGAAGCCUAAGGCAGCUGGGCAAAUGGAAAUGGGAUAUAAGAGUAUCUGAAUCAAGUGGUUGAGCUCUGCAUGUGCGGCAUGUAUAAGAAGAUGCAGCCUAGCAGCGCUAAAUUAUGUCCAGUAUAACAAUCUGGAUAACGGAAUUCAUCCUUAUCCGACGGCCAUCUUACACCUUAGGAAAAAGUACUUAUUAUCAAAGGUAUAUUUUGUCGGUGAUAUAACUGUUUGUUGUAGUAGAUUGAACGAACUUGACUUCAAACGGCCUAAUCUUUGCACUGAAAGCGCAGUUUACAACCAGGUCUGGAUUCUUCAAUGAGGUUUCAGUACCUGUAAUUUCAAGGUCGUGGAAAUUGAAAUCUGAUUGCAGCUAGUAGCUUACUGAGAUUUUAUCAUCGGACUUAUCCAAUUCACGACGAUCGAUUGAUUACCCAAUUAAUUAAUUGGAUCUUCAGGAACUUAUGAUCAGCGUAACACAUCUUAUUUGUCUUUCGGGAAGGUGCGGACUCAUUCCUGGAGCUAAAGGUUAUUGGCUGGCUAGCAGCCAUGAGCCAUUUCCGAUAACUGAAAGCUUCAAGUUUUCAUUCAUUCCAUGCCCUGGUGCACCCAGUUUUCAUUAACAGAGAACGAAUAAGAGACCCAAUGCUUGUAGGGCAUCACAAAAGCCUUCUAAUUUUACUCUCUUGAUGCCUAUUUCUUAAGUUACGUGGUAAGUUAAAGAGUAAAAAAAAAAAAAUUUCUCAAAAGACUCUUCAAAUAGAAACAAAUUUAUAUUAUUUUAGUCAAAUUAUUCUCUAACUAUAUUAAACUAGCUUCCAUUUUUCAACCAUAUAGUUAUAGUACUGCUCUCACUUUAGUAAUGAUGAUAUAAAAAUUAGUAUAAUAUAUUUGAAGAGGAGAAGUCACUCUUUAAUACUGAAAAGAGAAAGGGGCAAUUUUAUUAGAGAGCUCUUUGAAACUCUUAUUACUAAUGUAACUCUUUAAAUAAGAUGUAAAUAUCUCAUUUAAAGCAUUAAUGAUGCUCUUAUAUUCUAAAACUAGUAGAAUAAUUGAUUUAUAAUUGAUGUAAAUAUAUCAUUUAAUGCCUUUUCUUUUCCUUUUAUUAUUUUUUCCAGCUAGCUCUAUUUUCUUUUUGUNNNNNNNNNNNNNNNNNNNNNNNNNNNNNNNNNNNNNNNNNNNNNNNNNNNNNNNNNNNNNNNNNNNNNNNNNNNNNNNNNNNNNNNNNNNNNNNNNNNNNNNNNNNNNCAGCAGGGCGUAAACAACUAUGUUUUAAAUGCAGUUGGAAAAUUGCUUCAAUGGGUAGAAAUGUUUUUUUACAUAUAUAAACAACAUCAAGGGCAAAUUGAUAUUUAACAAAGAUUUAUUAACAGAUUUUAUUUGAAUUCACCAAAAAGUGAUUGAUUGAUAAAAGUUACAAAAAAAAGAUAGUUUAGUUUUAACAGUUAGUGGUUACAUGUAUGUAUUUUAUACAUCUUAUUGAAUAAGUGUGCCUGAUGGUGUCAAGAGUAACAUAUUGUAAUUAAUUUAAUUCGAUCAAAUUGUUCCUAAUAUUAACUCACACAUUCAUGAUCUAACAUAUAUUUUGAAUAAAAAGAAAUUUAGAAAAAAAAACAGUAGAUCAUUUCUUUAUUCUAUAAUUAUUGGUUGUCUCAGCUUUAUUCUUUAUUUAAUAAUUAGUACACACAACAGAUCUCUUCCAUUCGUUGUGAGACAUAAAGGAUAUCGAUCGAACAUCGAGGAUGUUAAUCUAGCUUGAUUGAGCUCGGGCUGCUCUGAUGGCAUUGAUCACAUCAUCACCCACUCGGAAAGAUUUGGUCAACACUUCAUUGGGAACGGGAGGCGUUGCGUCAAAUAUAGUACUGAUUGAAUCCGAAACGCCAGGAUUUUGAGUAUUGAAAAUAGGUAUAAAGGUGGCCGGCUCGUUUCCAACAUUUAGUUGGAAGUGAACCAGUGCUCUAGGAAUUAAGAACACCAUCCCGGGAGUCAAGACCUUUGAGAAAAAGGUAUUAUUAGUUGUUACUAAACCUACGAGCAACGUUCCUCUGGUAACAAUACCAGCCUCAGUUCCACGAGGAUGCGUAUGAGGCGGGUUUAUUCCGCCGACAUCCAA
This 7097-nucleotide long non-coding RNA is filed under the name Citrus sinensis (sweet orange). RNAcentral's name for it is "long non-coding RNA (CSIN_LNC001896)". Lineage: Eukaryota; Viridiplantae; Streptophyta; Magnoliopsida; Sapindales; Rutaceae. The record is from RNAcentral.